CCUACGGGGGGCAGCAGUGGGGAAUAUUGCGCAAUGGGCGAAAGCCUGACGCAGCGACGCCGCGUGAGGGAUGAAGGUCUUCGGAUCGUAAACCUCUGUCAGCAGGGAAGAACGGUCACUGUGCUAAUCAGCAGUGAAUUGACGGUACCUGCAAAGGAAGCACCGGCUAACUCCGUGCCAGCAGUCGCGGUAAUACGGAGGGUGCGAGCGUUAAUCGGAAUUACUGGGCGUAAAGCGCUCGUAGGCGGUAUGUCAAGUCAAGGGUGAAAUCCCCGCGCUCAACGUGGGAACUGCCUUUGAAACUGGCAAACUGGAGUGUGUGAGAGGAGAGUGGAAUUCCAGGUGUAGGAGUGAAAUCCGUAGAUAUCUGGAGGAACAUCAGUGGCGAAGGCGACUAUCUGGAACAUAACUGACGCUGAGGAGCGAAAGCGUGGGUAGCAAACAGGAUUAGAUACCCUGGUAGUC
This 465-nucleotide ribosomal RNA is filed under the name uncultured bacterium. RNAcentral's name for it is "partial 16S ribosomal RNA". It matches the Rfam family "Bacterial small subunit ribosomal RNA", at positions 338 to 795 of the family's 1533-position model. The record is from RNAcentral.